GGGGGCGAAAUGGUUUCGACCGGACAGAGGAAGAGACAGUUGCAGGUGGAGGUUGACGGGUGGCCUCCUAAAACUCCCGUCAAAAACAAUAGUCGACAACUACGACUACGCACUGGCAGCCUAAGGCAGCCCCCUCCCGGAAUCGCCCGCCCGAAGCGGUUCCAAUGGGAGGGUCGAAAUUUCGGGCUGGUCGAAGCGCUCCGGGCCGUAGGGGCGUGAGACGAGAUCCAAAUCGGCCGGAUCGUGAAGGAUCCUGUUCGUCGGAGACGAUCGGUCCGUAAUCAAACGACGAAACUAAACCUGUAGACGCUGUCUUGGACCUGUUUCGGGACCCGGGUUCGAUUCCCGGCGCCUCCACCA
RNAcentral lists this transfer-messenger RNA (360 nucleotides) under Planctomycetota. RNAcentral describes it as "JAJFFE01 sp020425835 Standard tmRNA". It matches the Rfam family "transfer-messenger RNA". From Rfam's summary of the family: Bacterial tmRNA, also known as 10Sa RNA or SsrA, is named for its dual tRNA and mRNA-like properties. Its role is to liberate the mRNA from a stalled ribosome. To accomplish this part of the tmRNA is used as a reading frame that ends in a translation stop signal. The record is from RNAcentral. RNAcentral also lists the same sequence under 1 other name. Lineage: Bacteria; Pseudomonadati.